Molecule: ribosomal RNA, 253 nt
Filed under: uncultured bacterium
Lineage: Bacteria
Description: partial 16S ribosomal RNA
Rfam family: Bacterial small subunit ribosomal RNA
Source: RNAcentral
UACGAAGGGGGCUAGCGUUGUUCGGAAUUACUGGGCGUAAAGCGCACGUAGGCGGAUAUUUAAGUCAGGGGUGAAAUCCCAGAGCUCAACUCUGAACUGCCUUUGAUACUGGGUAUCUUGAGUAUGGAAGAGGUAAGUGGAAUUCCGAGUGUAGAGGUGAAAUUCGUAGAUAUUCGGAAGAACACCAGUGGCGAAGGCGACUUACUGGUCCAUGACUGACGCUGAGGCUCGAAAGCGUGGGGAGCAAACCAGG